This 301-nucleotide ribosomal RNA is filed under the name uncultured bacterium. RNAcentral's name for it is "partial 16S ribosomal RNA". It matches the Rfam family "Bacterial small subunit ribosomal RNA", at positions 509 to 807 of the family's 1533-position model. The record is from RNAcentral.
CAGCAGCCACGGUAAUACGGAGGGUGCAAGCGUUAAUCGGAAUUACUGGGCGUAAAGAGCUCGUAGGCGGUUUGUCGCGUCUGCUGUGAAAUCCCGAGGCUCAACCUCGGGCUUGCAGUGGGUACGGGCAGACUAGAGUGCGGUAGGGGAGAUUGGAAUUCCUGGUGUAGCGGUGGAAUGCGCAGAUAUCAGGAGGAACACCGAUGGCGAAGGCAGAUCUCUGGGCCGUAACUGACGCUGAGGAGCGAAAGCGUGGGGAGCGAACAGGAUUAGAUACCCCCGUAGUCCCUGUCUCUUAUAC